GUGAGGAAUAUUGGACAAUGGAUGGAAAUCUGAUCCAGCCAUGCCGCGUGCAGGAAGACGGCCCUAUGGGUUGUAAACUGCUUUUAUACGGGAGCAAUAAGGUCUAUGCAUAGAUUGAUGAGAGUACCGUAUGAAUAAGCAUCGGCUAACUCCGUGCCAGCAGCCGCGGUAAUACGGAGGAUGCGAGCGUUAUCCGGAUUUAUUGGGUUUAAAGGGUGCGUAGGCGGCUUUGUAAGUCAGCGGUGAAAUUUUGCAGCUUAACUGUAAAAGCGCCGUUGAUACUGUGAAGCUAGGAUUUGGUUGCUGUGGGCGGAAUGUGUGGUGUAGCGGUGAAAUGCAUAGAGAUCACACAGAAUAUCGAUUGCGAAGGCAGCUCACAAAGCCAAUAUUGACGCUGAGGCACGAAAGUGUGGGGAUCAUACAGGAUUAGAAACCCGAGUAGUCC
RNAcentral lists this ribosomal RNA (445 nucleotides) under uncultured bacterium. RNAcentral describes it as "partial 16S ribosomal RNA". It matches the Rfam family "Bacterial small subunit ribosomal RNA", at positions 354 to 796 of the family's 1533-position model. The record is from RNAcentral.